CCUACGGGUGGCAGCAGUGAGGAAUAUUGGGCAAUGGGCGUAAGCCUGAACCAGCCAAGUCGCGUGAGUGAUGAAGGUUCUAUGGAUCGUAAACCUCUUGUAUAAGGGAGUAAAGUGUGGGACGUGUCCUGUUUUGUAUGUACCUUAUGAAUGAGGAUGGGCCAACUCCGUGCCAGAAGCAGCGGUAAUAAGGAGGAUGCGAGCGUUAUCCGGAUUGAUUGGGUGGAAAGGGUGCGUAGGCGGCCCAUUAAGUCUGCGGUGAAAGUCUGUGGCUCAACCAUAGAAUUGCCGUUGAAACUGGUAGGCUUGAGUAUUUGUGGGGCAGGCGGAAUGCGUGGUGUAGCGGUGAAAUGCGUAGAUAUCACGCAGAAC
This 372-nucleotide ribosomal RNA is filed under the name uncultured bacterium. RNAcentral describes it as "partial 16S ribosomal RNA". It matches the Rfam family "Bacterial small subunit ribosomal RNA", at positions 338 to 707 of the family's 1533-position model. The record is from RNAcentral.